CAUGGGAAUUUCCCGGGAUCUUCCCCUGCUGUGGUGGUGUGUGUGUGUGAUCUUCUUCUUCUGGUUAUGCUUUCGUUUAUCUUUAUUGAUAUACCACGCAUCACAAUUCACAAAGAAACAAAUUAUAACACUUGCCACAAAGGAUUUAUCACUAUCACUGGAUUUUCUACGUUGUUGACUGAAUAAGGUAUCAUUUAUUACUUUAGAUUUGAAGUUUAAUUAAGACAAGUUAUGCGGAAAUGAGGAACUAUGAAUGUUUCGGUUAAUUAAUUUCAUGCUCAUGUAAAAUCAGGCUCUAGAUUCAAUUUAUGUGAUUUAGAUUUACUCAAUUAAAUUAAGAUUUUAUUUUGAUGAUAUUCUUUAUUGGCAGAGAGUGCUUAAUGGAGUUCUUCGAUAAUUUAAGGUAAUUGGUGUUUUGCUAUUUACUCUAAAAUUCGAUUAUCUUGAAUAAGAUUGUUGAGGAGAUUGGAUCUUCGAUUAAAUUCAGCUAUGAGCCAAUAAAAUAACCCUUCAUUUGCAUUUAUAUAUUCUUUCUUUAAUGUCUCUGACAUGAUUACAACACAUAAACACUUCAAUUGCAGUUAUAUAUUCUUUCAAUUGCAGCUAUAUUACUACUCAAUUCCUGAUCAUAAGCAAAUUUAGCAAAUCUAUUUCUUUAAUGUCUCCUAUAGAGAACGGUCCCUAAACGAGUAAUUCAAGAGGGAUUCUAGAUAGCUGACAAUAAUUAGAUUGUCUGGACAAGCAUUGAAUUGCCUCUCAUAGGGUGUAAUAUUAAUAUUAACUUUGAUACCAAUCCAAUCCAUAUACAACAAUGCAGCCAUCUCACCACCUGCGCUAAGGAAUGCACCAAUCAGUGCUUCAAACAACAUCAGCAGCAACUUUCCGUUUCAAUUUUCUAUUUCCGCGGAAAAAAUAUUUAGUCGCGGAAAUAGAAAAUUGAAACGGUAAGUUGUUGCUGAUGUUGUUGAAGCACUGAUUGGUGGUGAGAUGGCUGCAUUGUUGUUUCUGGAUUGAGUUGGUAUCAAAGUGAAUAUUAAUAUUACAUAUGAGAUGCAAUUCAAUGCUUUGUCGAGAUAAUCUAGUUAAUGUCAGCUAUCAAGAAUCCCUUUUGAAGUACUCGUUUAGGGACCGUUCUCUGUUAGUAGAAGCCAUGACACACGGUUCCUACAUGCUGCCUGACGUUCCUAGAUGCUAUCAGAUGUCUGACAAAAAUUGUAGAGUUUGCAUGUUAUCAAGACUUAAUCCAUGCCAAAGUGAGACUUCCAAGGACAUUUGGAGUAGGUGAAGUGUCCAAGACCAUCCAACUCAAGGAGCCUUGAUGCCCCAUCUUAGUAAGGAAUCACAAACUUUAACUUCAUGAUAAAAAUGAGAAAUAUAAAUGUCCAAAUCAGAAGAACAUGGAGCAAGAGGCUUCAUCAUGAUAGAAGUAAAAGUUUGAAUUUGGUUCAAGACAACUUGAGAGGUCUGCCUCAAAGAAGAGGAAGAGAAUGGAUAAAUUUUUAGCAAUUCAAAGUAAAAA
Long non-coding RNA from Medicago truncatula (barrel medic), 1519 nucleotides. RefSeq lists it as uncharacterized. NCBI's taxonomy places the organism in Eukaryota, Viridiplantae, Streptophyta, Magnoliopsida, Fabales, Fabaceae. The record is from RefSeq and is a predicted model, not a curated record. The transcript has 2 exons.